AAAGCUGAUUCAGGUCUUCAGGAGCCGCGAGGCCGCAGAGCCGCCGGGCCGGCCAGGGGGUGGGAAGCAGAUUCCUCAGCUCCCUGCCCCGGAAAGGGAGGCUUGGCAUCCCCCUCGGGGCGGGGGGAAGGCAGAGGGGCAGCGGUCUGGGUGGGGCGUCCAGCUCCCUCGAGCCCGCCGGGUGCUGCGGGCGGAAGUCCACCAGGCCAGGGGUCUAGAAGCUUCAGAAUGUUCCAGCAGCUCUGCCUUCCCGCCGCUCGGCCGAGAAGCUGACCCGCAGCGGCCGGACCUGUGCUCCGAGAGGACGCGCCCAGCCCGGUGCGAAACGGACCCUGCAGCCUGUCCCCGGCGGCUGGAGCACAGAAGGUUUGUAGGCUCCUCUCUCCAUCCCUGAUGUCCAGAAAGCUCCCGCUGUGACUAGGCGUUCCUCACUUGCUAUAUGUGGCACUGUUCUGAAGAGCUCUACCACGUGCUCACUGACUCAGUCCCUCACCCAGGAGGUGGGUGUUGUGAGCGGCCUGACGUUGCUGGUCCAGGUCCCACUGCUGGGAUUUGAACCCAGGCCUUUGGCUGCAGAGCCCAGGAUGUCUAGGGAGUGGCUGCUUCCGUCCAGGACCGGCUGGUCCUGAACGGCCCUGUCACACUCGGGUGAGGCCCGGCUCCUGGCCAGAAGCUCUGUGUGUGGGGAGGUGGGGGUCUGCUCGUCGACUUGCUGGCCUCCACGUGGCGUUGCGAAGGGGUCCUGCAGGGGCUCUUCAGCGUUGCUGUCUGUAGGUUUCUCCUUUGCGAUGGCGAGGUUCCUAAGGAGAAACCCUGGAAGAGGACGGGUCAGCCUGGUGAAGACUGGCUCCGGCGUGGAGAGCUGAGUGGAGAGAUGCAAUACAUAGACUUUCUCUUAAUCUCCUUGUUUCCACUAUGGCCCCUGUUCUCGCCUUGAGCUGUGGUUGGCAUUCAUGAGUCCAGGGACUUUCUGGUUCAGCUGCUCCCUGGAAGGUACUUGCCAUUUUCUGCCACAUGACAGGGAGGAAUGUGGGCAAUCUAAGUGUUUCUUACAGACUUUCAACCCACCGUCCUGUUUUCUAGCCCUCCUCCACAGCCCGCCCUUCAGAGAGGCCUGGAACCCUGCACAGAGGCUUCCGGGUUUACGAGGCAUGGGGUGCACCCUCUCCCUCCCGCCGGUGCCCUCCCUGCGGGCAGCCUGCUUUUCGCUUUCUCUGCCCUCCGACGGUUAGUUAUCCUUGGACGUCACUCUUCCUGCUUCCACCAUGUGUUGACAUUUUCGUCUUCUGUGAUGUUUCUU
Molecule: long non-coding RNA, 1300 nt
Organism: Camelus dromedarius (Arabian camel)
Lineage: Eukaryota; Metazoa; Chordata; Mammalia; Artiodactyla; Camelidae
Exons: 3
Source: RefSeq, a predicted model, not a curated record